RNAcentral lists this transfer RNA (73 nucleotides) under Candidatus Lindowbacteria bacterium RIFCSPLOWO2_02_FULL_62_12. Its description in RNAcentral is "tRNA-Glu". It matches the Rfam family "tRNA". Rfam says of the family: Transfer RNA (tRNA) molecules are approximately 80 nucleotides in length. Their secondary structure includes four short double-helical elements and three loops (D, anti-codon, and T loops). RNAcentral also lists the same sequence under 1 other name. The record is from RNAcentral. Lineage: Bacteria; Candidatus Lindowiibacteriota.
GGGGGUAUCGGCUAAUCGGCAGGCCGCCGUGUUCUCAGCGCGGAAACCGCGGGUUCGAAUCCCCGUACCCCUG